RNAcentral lists this non-coding RNA (23 nucleotides) under Cricetulus griseus (Chinese hamster). Lineage: Eukaryota; Metazoa; Chordata; Mammalia; Rodentia; Cricetidae. The record is from RNAcentral.
ACUGUCUGUAACUCUAAGUCCAG